UCAUUCUAUCUGUAUAUUCAGUUUUAAACACCCACAGUCGUGCUCUGAGAUACAGGCCAAGAGCAAAGGACACUUGUGGGAGUUGUAGGUGUUGACACAACAGUCAAAUCUAUUUGGUCUCAAGCUUUAUGCUUGGACCUGCUCAUCUAACUCUGGCUGAUCCAUUCGUGUCUCACACGGGUAACGUGGCUUUUUCUUUCCAUUUCCAGGAGUCCCCAAAUGCAGGUGGCCAGCCCCCUGACCAGUUGGUUGGUACCAGAGCUGGAGAGGGAUGACUGUGUUCCAUAGCCCUUGGGAAGGGUGCCUUGGCCUCCUGUCAGAUAACCUGGACUAAAACCUCUCUGGGGAAAGGAUUUGCUUUCCCUGUGUGAUCCUACGGUGUCUAAUACAACAGGACCCAACCUCAGGAUAAAUUGCAGCUGGUUGCUGGUAAUCCUUGUGGCAUAUCAGAUAGCAGCGUAACUCGGCAAGGGUAAGGUGGAGAAACCCAAACAUCCUUCUGAGGAGGUAAUUAUUCCAUUGUGAAAAUGCUCCGGGAUAUUUUUAGUGGCCAAACCCCCUGUUUCCUGACAGAAACAUAAAAUAAUGAAGCAAGUUUCACAAGGAGAAACGCUUCAGACACCUGUACUAGCUGGUGCUUUGCAGUCACGUCAGUGUUU
Long non-coding RNA from Manacus vitellinus (golden-collared manakin), 659 nucleotides. RefSeq lists it as uncharacterized. NCBI's taxonomy places the organism in Eukaryota, Metazoa, Chordata, Aves, Passeriformes, Pipridae. The transcript has 3 exons. The record is from RefSeq and is a predicted model, not a curated record.